AUGUCGACGACGGUGCACAAGGUGGCGACGCACGCUGCAUCGGCGGCGGGGGCGAGAAUGAAGGGUCGGCGGCCGCCGAGCGUGGUGAGGGAGAUCGUGUACGGCAUGAGCCUGGGGCUCUUCGCGGGGUACCUGUGGAAGCUGCACCACUGGAGCAACCAGCGCCGCACCCGCGAGUUCCACAGCCUGCUCGACCAGGGCAGGAUCUCCGUCGUCGUCGACGAGCCGGCCGGAGCAAGGACUAGCAUUAUCCAUAUAGUUUCACCUGCCUACCCACUAGGAGAGGUAUUUUCAGUCCGUGCUUCCACAGAUCAGUAA
This 318-nucleotide ribosomal RNA is filed under the name Triticum aestivum (bread wheat). Its description in RNAcentral is "partial small subunit ribosomal RNA". The record is from RNAcentral. Lineage: Eukaryota; Viridiplantae; Streptophyta; Magnoliopsida; Poales; Poaceae.